This is a long non-coding RNA of Trematomus bernacchii (emerald rockcod), 653 nucleotides long. RefSeq lists it as uncharacterized. Lineage: Eukaryota; Metazoa; Chordata; Actinopteri; Perciformes; Nototheniidae. The record is from RefSeq and is a predicted model, not a curated record. The transcript is spliced from 3 exons.
GAUUGGCCUCAUCAGUUUCACCUGUGUCUCCUCAUUGGUGUCAGCUUGAGUUUGAAUCCUGCUUUUUGUUUUGUGUUGGUUGGAUUCUUGUGUAUCGCUUUUUGGAAAGUGUUACCUUGUCUGGACCGAGCAUGGAUUGAAGGGGUCAUGGCUGAAAACACAACGUGUGUUUAUACGAAGGGUCACCGGAGCAUUCCUCAGGCCGUCACCAGGUCACAGAGCAGGAACCUUUAGGAGGGGAGGCAGCGACCAUGACAGAGAGAGAGAGAGUCCCAGCAGAUGUGUGAGAGGGGGAGGGAGGGGUCAGAGGUCACUCACCGUCCUGUCCUCACUGAGAGGUUCUGACCCAGGAACCGGAGGAGGUUGGACGGGCCGUGCUCCCACAGGCAGGCGUGGGCCCAGUCCUCAGAGGUCUUCGCCAGGGUGUCGUCCCACACCUGAAGAUUCAAGAUUAAAGAUUCAAGGCUGCUGGCACCAUACAUGACCCCUCUUCCCCUGGAAGUGACUACUCUGGUGGUCUCUCCUGCAGAGCAAUCUGCUCCACAGCUCAACGCCAAGAAACUACAAGACAUGUCACUUUACUUCCUUUCCAAACUGCAGCUAUUAAAUCUUCCUUUGACUAAACAUUUUCCCACUAGCAGAACAUGCAUAAU